GAUUAAAAACAGAGCUGAGGGGGAACGGGAGUGAGGCUGGAGGGGCGGAGCUCCUGCCAAAAACCAGAGAAAGCUUGACAGUUCCAAUGGCUGCUCCUGCACAGGUGCAGAGCCCAUGUAUGAAUGGGCAGAUGACCACUAGAAGAACCUCAGUUACAGCUUAUUUCACUUGAGGAUGUAGACAAGAUUCUUGGAUCUGCAAGAACAACCUCCCGCAUACUCGAUUCUUGCCUUUCAUGACAGGUGAAGCAAGCCAGACCAGGAUUGGUUACCUGGAUGAUGGAGGGGGUGAAUGCCGGUCUGAAGUUUGGCAAGCAUCCACAAGAAAGAAGCAACCUGGCUGCUGCUGUGGUGGUGGGUUAAUGUUCUGGAAUGCGCUCCUCAUGGAGUCCAGACAGGCACCACACUCUAUACAUUUAGCCAUCUAUAACUAAUACAUAACUGUUUGAGACAGACUUUGCUGCUGGAUAGGUUCUAAUCUACUUUUGCUUUGCUUGUAUUUUCCUUUGCUGUUGAAUUUAAUUGCGAUCAGCUGCAAGUGUCUCUUGAUCAUCUUGUGGGGGAUUUUUAUUAUUGUGUUGUUGUUGUAUACUGCCCUGGGUGCAAUGGGAGAGCAGCGGUGUGUAAACUUAUCGACAUACAUAAAUAAAAUAAAGCAGCCUCUUCACCUU
Hemicordylus capensis (graceful crag lizard) is the source of this 671-nucleotide long non-coding RNA. RefSeq lists it as uncharacterized. Lineage: Eukaryota; Metazoa; Chordata; Lepidosauria; Squamata; Cordylidae. The transcript has 2 exons. The record is from RefSeq and is a predicted model, not a curated record.